RNAcentral lists this ribosomal RNA (532 nucleotides) under uncultured bacterium. Its description in RNAcentral is "bacterial SSU rRNA". It matches the Rfam family "Bacterial small subunit ribosomal RNA", at positions 767 to 1299 of the family's 1533-position model. The record is from RNAcentral.
AGCAAAUAGAUACCCGGGUAGUCCACGCCGUAAACGAUGAAUGCUAGCCGUUGGCGGGCUUGCCCGUCAGUGGCGCAGCUAACGCUUUAAGCAUUCCGCCUGGGGAGUACGGUCGCAAGAUUAAAACUCAAAGGAAUUGACGGGGGCCCGGCACAAGCGGUGGAGCAUGUGGUUCAAUUCGAAGCAACGCGCAGAACCUUACCAGCCCUUCGACAUGUCCCGUACUGGACUCCAGAGACGGAGUUCUUCAGUUCGGCUGGCGGGAACACAGGUGCUGCAUGGCUGUCGUCAGCUCGUGUCGUGAGAUGUUGGGUUUAAGUCCCGCAACGAGCGCAACCCUCGCCCUUAGUUGCCAUCAUUUAGUUGGGCACUCUAAGGGGACUGCCGGUGAUAAGCCGGAGGAAGGUGGGGAUGACGUCAAGUCCUCAUGGCCCUUACGGGCUGGGCUACACACGUGCUACAAUGGCGGUGACAGAGGGAUGCGACGGCGCGAGCCUUUGCAAAUCUCAAAAACGCCGUCUCAGUUCGGAUU